Molecule: ribosomal RNA, 292 nt
Filed under: uncultured bacterium
Lineage: Bacteria
Description: partial 16S ribosomal RNA
Rfam family: Bacterial small subunit ribosomal RNA
Source: RNAcentral
GUGUCAGCCGCCGCGGUAAUACGGAGGGUGCAAACGUUGCUCGGAAUUAUUGGGCGUAAAGCGUACGUAGGCGGUCCAGCAAGUCGGGAGUGAAAUCCCUCGGCUCAACCGAGGAAGUGCUUUCGAAACUACUGGGCUUGAAUACUGGAGAGGGUUGCGGAAUUCCCGGUGUAGAGGUGAAAUUCGUAGAUAUCGGGAGGAACACCAGUGGCGAAGGCGGCAACCUGGACAGAUAUUGACGCUGAUGUACGAAAGCGUGGGGAGCAAACAGGAUUAGAUACCCUUGUAGUCC